Molecule: ribosomal RNA, 465 nt
Filed under: uncultured bacterium
Lineage: Bacteria
Description: partial 16S ribosomal RNA
Rfam family: Bacterial small subunit ribosomal RNA
Source: RNAcentral
CCUACGGGAGGCAGCAGUGGGGAAUAUUGCGCAAUGGGCGAAAGCCUGACGCAGCGACGCCGCGUGAGGGAUGAAGUUCUUCGGAUCGUAAACCUCUGUCAGCAGGGAAGAACGGUCACUGUGCUAAUCAGCAGUGCAUCGACGGUACCUGCACAGGAAGCACCGGCUAACUCCGUGCAAGCAGCCGCGGUAAGACGGAGGGUGCGAGCGGUAAUCGGAAUUAGUGGGCGUAAAGCGCUCGUAGGCGGUAUGGCCAGUCAAGGGUGAAAUCCCCGGGCUCAAGGUUGGAACUGCCGUUGAAACUGGCAAACUGGAGUGUGUGAGAGGAUAGUGGAAUUCCAGGUGUAGGAGUGAAAUCCGUAGAUAUCUGGAGGAACAUCAGUGGCGAAGGCGACUAUCUGGCACAUAACUGACGCUGAGGAGCGAAAGCGUGGGUAGCAAACAGGAUUAGAUACCCCGGUAGUC